GGAAAUUUUGGAGAUACAAUUUUGGACAUUAGGGAAGACAUCAAUUUAUUCAAGACUCUCCACAAAGACACUUUAGAAUUAGUCAAAUUUUAAUUUAGUAGAUUAGGCUUUCUAAACCAAGUUUUGUAAUAUUGGGCCAAAUUUUGGCAAAAACAUGAUAGGCCCAAUUGUAGGGUAGGACACAUGGCACUAGGGUUUCUUUAGAGUGGACCUCACCCUCUCAUUAAGUGACUCAUGGCCUAGGGAUUGGGAGUCCAGCCGUCACUCUCUCAAUUUUUUCUGAAUUGGCUGGACGUUUUUCUUACAUUGCAAUUUUUCCUUGAAUGAUGAUGGAUUAUAGAUGAAUGUUACACA
Molecule: long non-coding RNA, 354 nt
Filed under: Vigna radiata
Lineage: Eukaryota; Viridiplantae; Streptophyta; Magnoliopsida; Fabales; Fabaceae
Description: long non-coding RNA (VRAD_LNC008277)
Source: RNAcentral